CCUUGCCAUUGUGGUGGUUGACUCCGUGAGAGAAGCAACACACAGUAUCUUCCAUGUUCAUGUUGUGUGCAUUUAUGUAUUUCAAAACCAACACUCUCAUUUCACAUGGAAUCUUCCUGAAUGUAGACGCAAGUACAAUAUCGUAGUGCCAUUUUAAAACUGUCGCAUUGCCUUUUAGGUAUUUCUGUUUCACCUCCCAAAUAAUGAAUCAGAUAUCCAAGAACUAGUUAUUUCUAAUAUCUGUCUGUUUUCACCUCUCAGUUUUCAUAGGGUUCAGAAAUUGUAAUAUUUUCAUUUUUUACAUUUUUUCUCGUUUUAAAAAUGAAAUUAUUCUGCAAAUGUGCAAUGAAAACUGAUUGUGUUUUGUUUUUCACGUGACUGUUAUCUGAUGUUACACAUGGAUAACUACAAUCACAAAACAAACAUGAAGUUCCUGUUACGCUAUCUUAGACUAUGUAAUGGUAAUGGUUAUACAGUUCAUAAGGUGACAAAACAAACAUGAAGUUCCUGUUACGCUAUCUUAGACUAUGUAAUGGUAAUGGUUAUACAGCUCAUAAGGUGACAAAACAAACAUGAAGUUCCUGUUAAUGCUAUCUUAGACUAUGUAAUGGUUAUACAGUUCAUAAGGUGACUUACAUUCAGAAACUCUUUACAUUUUGUGUUCGGUACAACUUGAUUAUGUUUUGUUGUAUGGGACCUUGUCCCGAAAGAGCCAUGAGGGUGUUCUGCGCUCUGUUCAAAAUGGUUAUGACAAUGGUUUAGAUCUGGACCUCCUGCAGAAUCACCAUGUUUAGAGUUGGCCUUGAUUUGUAAUGCACUGAAUGUCACCAGUGUGCUGGAUCUGUCAUGGAGGUUGUAUGUGGGAAGGUUUAUCCUAAAUACUCCUGAUGAAGAAGAUGUGCAGUUGCCCUGUCUAUCAUUUUGCAGAGGAAUCAUGAUUCACAAGGUAGAAAUGAACCUGGAGAAGACCCAGGAGAAUGUUAUUCAGUAUAUUCAGUAGAUGAGAUCUACAACGUAUCAUGUCCAGUACUACCCACACUUCUUCCACUUCUGUCGCCAUCCUUAAUGACACAUACACAAGAUAAGUUGCCUGUCUAGUAGUACUAGUCACAAGGGCUUUUUUCUGUUAAAUGUUAUAUUCAUGAGCAUAACGUCAGAUACCAUUGAUACAAUGGGUUCCUUCCCUUGAUAGUUUGCUAGAGUUCUCAAAAAAUCAAACUGUGAUGAAAGUGUUGUUGUCCUGACAAACACUUUCUACAUAAUCACAAGUUUGGAUGACCCUUGAAAAUUAUCAACAGAAUAGAACCUGUAUAUUUCAUUUCAUUCUUCAUAAUUUUUUUUAUCAUAUAUGCCAAAACACAUUCAAUGGAGAUGCGUAAUUCCUUUUCUCAUUUUUUUCUAUGAUGUUUGUUGACAAAGUCUAUUCUUGUCAGUGCUUGUGCUUGAAAUUUUGUCAUCCUUUUUGUCAUGAAAACUGUCUUGUAACCUCACUUCACACACAAUACGAUUGUGGUUACCACUGUUUCAGUCUUAGGUAGACAGAUGAUAUGACCUUUGCAGGAGUAUUAUUCUUUGUUCUUCUUUCCUUUCUGUUCAUGCACUUGGCUAAGUCUAUAACCUUUGAUAGACAAUGUGCUCGUAUCAAUCCCAUACACUUGGAGGCAUCAGGUCAAAGGGAGAUAACUCUGUGAAAGACUACCUAAUAAUUGUAACAAAAGCUCAAAUGAAGAAAGUGAGAAAAUUCAAAGAUGUCUUUAUUGUGCAACAUUGCAAUAUCUUUGAAUUUCUUCAGUUUAUGGAUUCUCAGUGUAUUAAUAAACAUGUUUUACCAAUGUGCUACUGUGAAGCUUGCAUUCCUGUCAACACAGGUGAACUGAGGAUGGAACUCAAUUAGUUCUUGAUUAUUAAAGGUGAAAUACAAAACCAUAUUUCAGAGAAGUCUUCUGAGAUCUCUGCCAUUCUCUACUAAAUGGCAGGGGCACAAUUAAAAGUCUUCAUCAAUAAACAACCUGCCAGAAUGUGUAUCUAUGUUACUGAUAAUCAUUAUAUGAGCUGAUGGGCACCAGAUUAUGUAACAACUUCAUUAAGUUGAGGUGCAACCUGAGUUUGCUUCCUUUGAAUUAUUCUCACACAAAUUUACACUUAUCUGGUUACAGCAUUCACUGUGUAUGUGAGUUUCAUUCCCCCCAUGGAUUUAUUUGUUGAUUGCUGGUGUUACCCGGCAUGAUGUUGGUGGAAUACAGCUAAAAGUGGCGUAAAACAAUAUUAACUCAUGUCUGAAGCUAAUAUGUGUGCAUAAACACAUCUUGUGAAAUUGAAGUAUCAAUUUGUGUGAUGGCCAGCAUUACCUUUUUAUUAUGAUCAACUUUUAUUUAAUGGUUUAAUUAAUGGUAGAAUUUGGGAAGGGGGCUGCAUACUUACUUUAUGACCAGGGUUAGUAGGAAAAAAAAACAUACCUCAACUCGAUUUAUGUCAUGUGAUGAUACAGGUUCUGGAAGACAUUAGAUAGUGCUCACUGACGACCUUCGAUCCAGGUUUGAAGGUACAGAACACAUGUAGUGAACUGCUUGGAUUGCUCAAUGGAUUCCCUACUUACCUAUACAAUCAUGUAUCGUGUCUGUUUAGUUCAUUAUUACACACUAUGAAUGUGAGUAUAUCACAGGAUCGUGAAAUUCUUGUAUUCACAUUUCCUGAACAAAUUGGUUGAGUUUGUAAUGGCCAGAGAUCAAAAUGUUUCACAGAGACUUCAGGUUUUUUCAGUGAAUCAUGAGAAACGGUCUUCACUGUGAAUCAGGUAUUUGAAUGAAAUUUGUGACAGUUCUCCUAGACUUGCUUCAUGAUCAUAAUUUGACCUGCAGGUUGUCAACUUGUAUUUUUAUAGACCAUCAGGUACUUCUGUCAGCUUCAUCCUUCAAGCCCAAUCAGAUACUUCACACACCUUCAACAUUUUGAUGCAAAGCCCAUUUCUGGUGUCCCCCGCUAUGAUAUUGCUGGAAUAUUGCUAAAAGCAGUGUGAAAGUAAACUCACUCACUCACUCAGCAUUUGGAUGUCACUGAGGUCAUUCCAACAGGUUACUGACAAACAUUGGCUGAAAUGUGGUGUGUGUUGGACUCAUGGUAUACUUUUCGCCUUGUUCUAUCUUCUUUACAAACUGGAGGAAUGUCGGAAAAUAGCUUUGGACAUAAUUCUACAUUACUACUCCACUAGCCUGAAACUUUUACUGAUGAUACUUGAUUCAGACUUUCCAACAAAUAGUAGUUUGUUUUCCUAGAGCCCUAAAACAUGUUACAUGGGAUAUCAAUCACUCAUUUGAAACUUCCUUUCAGAGGUAAAAUGGUUCUUUAAGCAGAGACCAAAAACAUAUUCUGUCUUUGGCAAAGAUUGCCGGUGUGCGUAUUAAUUGAUUGUAGCAGCACUAAACAUCAAGGACCUUGGUCAGUCUAAGCUGUCUUCCUGUUCCAAGCCAUUCAGUAACAUGUGAAAAUCUGUCUCUGGUUUAAGUAACUGCACUCUUGGUCCUUGAAGGGUUGUAAUGACAGUAUGGAUGUUCAAAGACAAAUGCUAUGUCAAGAGAGCUGGUACAGUGUGCAGAAAGAAGGUUAAAGUCAGCAGGGUCAGCUAAAAUACUCACCACUUGAAGACGAUCACCUGCUUGUCGUCUACACACAAAAUACAGAACACUGUGUUCAAGAAGGGUUACAUUUUGUAAUUUUGUAUGUAUAUUGUACGUUGUGUAUUGUGAGUGUUUUUUGUGGAUUGUCUUCUCGUUAGAAUUUUCUAAUUCUAGUCUUGACAAUACGGAACAAUACAGAAACUGCUUUCAAAAAGCAAAUAUUCAUGAUUUUGGUGAUUUUUGUUGAAAGAUUAGUAUGAUGAGAUAUCCACGCCAUGUAGAGAAAUAUGUACCAUUUGGACUGGUUUGGGCACCUCCAGCCAUAAACCCUCAAAAGAAGAAUUGUCAGUGUUCUAUGAAUGAUAUCAUUACCAAAGUUAGAAGACCUAAGAAUAUGGUGUGUCCCAAAUAAAACCGGUUCUCUUGCCCAAAGUCAUCAUUCUCAUGUGCACUGUCGUUCUGUGCUGUGUUCUUUCAACAUGAAAUCCUAGGUUUGUUCUCUACAGAUAUAGCACAAAGGUCUGUUGAAAUGUGUGUAAGGUGCCCAGUUCAGUAAACAUUAGGAGAAACCCAAGAUAUUUCUGAAUGUCAUAGAAGGUUUAAAAGUCUGAUGUCGGAUGCAGUACUGAAAUUAUUACAAAGCCGUGUCCCAGUGCAGAAUUACAUCAGCUGAAGUUGUGGCACAUUGUAAGACACUUGUAUUUAUACAGUUCAUAUCAUCUCAUCUUUCAAAGUACACAGGCCAACCACAGCCUGCCUUGGCUGUCUCUGCAGUAACCCAGACAAGAUUUUGUUGAAUGGACAGCUUGCAGACCAGUUACGCCCCCCACCAUCCACAAACCUAACGAGUGGCAUAUCUGACAUCUAACUUUUGAACUGAACCCUACAAAAUGUGAUAUAGGUGAGUGUUUAAGAAUGUGCAGAAGAAGAAACGGUGCUUCAGAUGUUUUAAGUAAGGUAAAGAAAUAUUUUAUUUCUGAUACCAGAAUUUAUACUGCAUGGCACCAAAGGUAGAUGUGUUGGGUUGCAGACCAUCAAGCCGUGUUCAGUUGUCAUACUACACAAGUGUUGUCUUUGUAACGCUUGUAUUACAUGUAACUUAUAUAAAUAUGUUUGUAAGAUAUUAAACACACAUUAUAUAUAAUACUUGUAAAUUGAGCUACUUUUAGGGCUUGUAGUCCUCCCGCUUGUUUUGUUUUGUAUAAAUGAAUAUAUUAUUUCAUUGUUACCAGUGCUACCCAUUUUCCUAGGAAUCAUUUACUGAAUUGGUUUGACGCUCUCAUUCAACCUACAUUUAUUUAUGCCAAUCCUUUUAUAUUGUGAAACAGCUGUGACCCAUGGUAGAGUGCAAGUGUUAACAUGGUGUGGUUCAACAAAGACUUUGUCAUACACUUUGUACAAAAUCCCAGCUUGGCUGUUAUGUGCAGAAUGAUAUUCAUAAACUUGUAGUUGCAUCUAAAAAUGAUGGAUGAGAUAAAUCUGACAUUAUGUAGACAAUCGAAGACCUCUAUCCAAGGAUACACCCAUGUUCAGAAACCUAUUCCUGCCUUGUAAAGCUAAUUCUUGAGGAAUGAUAAUUCUCUAAUGUAUCACAAUUUGAUUUUCUUCUUUGUAUACACAAUUAGCUUGGUUCUGAUGCACUAUGUAUUGUUUCUGUAUUCUAUAUACAAAAUGCUUCUAUUUGUCUGCUCUCUAACUACUGAUACUAUUCACAACUGGGCAUAAUCAUAACUAUGUUACUCCUAAUGCAGGUAAGUGCUUAUCAUUUUCAUGAAAUAGGUAUUGUGACAUAACAGUAAUGUUUCAGCAGUACUAAACGUAAUGUCCCUUGAAAUGUUCAACUGACUUUGUUAGAAGUGAAAGCUCUUCAACUAUUCCCUUUAUGAUGAACAGGGAGUGUUGCCUCGUCCCAACAACUACCUGGGUUUGAUAUGGAACAAUGAUUUGGCUGGAAAUGAAUUAGUGUAAAAUCCUCACUCACUAUCAUGAGGACUGGAAACAUUGGGAGACAGGAUCUCUUAGCUGCAGUAUUUACCAUCUUCAUGCGUCACAGAUCAUAUUGUCUUAACGCACACAAUGCAAAAUCUGAACUUUGUGUCCUUGGUUCAGUCCCAGCGAUAACACUUAGAGGUAUCAUUUUUUGAAUUCAUCAGUUCAUUUAUAAAGUUAGCCCCCAGACUCAAAUGUGAAUGCAGUGAAUCCCAGGAACUGGAAGCCCAGGCCACAUUCCACUCAUAAAGUUAAAUAUGAUUGUGAAUCUUCACCUGAGUUCUGGGACAGAUUUUACACAUAUUGACUGUUGUAUGAAAGUAUGGUUGCAAAAA
Long non-coding RNA from Haliotis rubra (blacklip abalone), 5938 nucleotides. RefSeq lists it as uncharacterized. The transcript has 3 exons. Lineage: Eukaryota; Metazoa; Mollusca; Gastropoda; Lepetellida; Haliotidae. The record is from RefSeq and is a predicted model, not a curated record.